This 115-nucleotide ribosomal RNA is filed under the name Lepisosteus oculatus (spotted gar). Lineage: Eukaryota; Metazoa; Chordata; Actinopteri; Semionotiformes; Lepisosteidae. The record is from RNAcentral.
GCCAGCCGCCUUAUCACCCUGAAACUCACAACUGAAGCCCACUGAAGCUAAGCAGGUUUAAGCCUGUCAGUACCCUGAUGGGAGAUCCCCUGGGAAGCUCAGGUUGCUGCUGGAA